This 396-nucleotide ribosomal RNA is filed under the name uncultured bacterium. RNAcentral's name for it is "partial 16S ribosomal RNA". It matches the Rfam family "Bacterial small subunit ribosomal RNA", at positions 523 to 917 of the family's 1533-position model. The record is from RNAcentral.
AUACGUAGGUGACAAGCGUUAUCCGGAUUUACUGGGCGUAAAGGGCGUGUAGGCGGUCUUGCAAGUCAGAAGUGAAAUUCCUGAGCUCAACUCGGGCGCUGCUUCUGAAACUGCAGGACUUGAGUGCUGGAGGGGAUAGCGGAAUUCCUAGUGGAGCGGUAAAAUGCGCAGAUAUUAGGAAGAACACCGGUGGCGAAGGCGACUACCUGGCCAGAAACUGAAGCUGAGGCGCGAAAGCGUGAGUAGAAAACAGCAUUAGGUACCCUGGUAUUCCACGCCGUAAACGAUGAAUACUAGGUGUAGGGGGCAUCGACUCCCGCUGUGCCUCAGUUAACACAAUAAGUAUUCCGCCUGGGGAGUACGGCCGCAAGGUUGAAACUCAAAUGAAUUGGCGGG